RNAcentral lists this transfer RNA (84 nucleotides) under Salix viminalis (osier). The record is from RNAcentral. Lineage: Eukaryota; Viridiplantae; Streptophyta; Magnoliopsida; Malpighiales; Salicaceae.
CUUGAGGUAGCCGAGUUGGUCCAAUGAAGCGCGACAUUAUCGCUGCCCUCCGAGAGGGCGUGAGUUCGAAUCUCACCCUCAGUA